RNAcentral lists this ribosomal RNA (1346 nucleotides) under uncultured bacterium. Its description in RNAcentral is "partial 16S ribosomal RNA". It matches the Rfam family "Bacterial small subunit ribosomal RNA", at positions 28 to 1381 of the family's 1533-position model. The record is from RNAcentral.
GACGAACGCUGGCGGCGUGCUUAACACAUGCAAGUCGAACGGAAAGGCCCUGCUUUUGUGGGGUGCUCGAGUGGCGAACGGGUGAGUAACACGUGAGUAACCUGCCCUUGACUUUGGGAUAACUUCAGGAAACUGGGGCUAAUACCGGAUAGGAGCUCCUGCUGCAUGGUGGGGGUUGGAAAGUUUCGGCGGUUGGGGAUGGACUCGCGGCUUAUCAGCUUGUUGGUGGGGUAGUGGCUUACCAAGGCUUUGACGGGUAGCCGGCCUGAGAGGGUGACCGGCCACAUUGGGACUGAGAUACGGCCCAGACUCCUACGGGAGGCAGCAGUGGGGAAUAUAGCACAAUGGGCGGAAGCCUGAUGCAGCAACGCCGCGUGCGGGAUGACGGCCUUCGGGUUGUAAACCGCUUUCGCCUGUGACGAAGCGUGAGUGACGGUAAUGGGUAAAGAAGCACCGGCUAACUACGUGCCAGCGGCCGCGGUGAUACGUAGGGUGCGAGCGUUGUCCGGAUUUAUUGGGCGUAAAGGGCUCGUAGGUGGUUGAUCGCGUCGGAAGUGUAAUCUUGGGGCUUAACCCUGAGCGUGCUUUCGAUACGGGUUGACUUGAGGAAGGUAGGGGAGAAUGGAAUUCCUGGUGGAGCGGUGGAAUGCGCAGAUAUCAGGAGGAACACCAGUGGCGAAGGCGGUUCUCUGGGCCUUUCCUGACGCUGAGGAGCGAAAGCGUGGGUAGCGAACAGGCUUAGAUACCCUGGUACUCCAUGCCAUAAACGGAGGGCGCUAGGUGUGAGUCCCUUCCACGGUUUUUGUGCCGUAGCUAACGCAUUAAGCGCCCCCCCUGGGGAGUACGGCCGCAAGGCUAAAACUCAAAGGAAUUGAGGGGGGCCCGCACAAGCGGCGGAGCAUGUGUAUUAAUUCGAUGCAACGCGAAAAACCUUACCUGGCUUGGACUUACACUGACAUCGCUAUAGAGAUAGUCUUUCCCUUUGUGGCUAGAGUACGAGGUGGUGCAUGGUUGUCCUCCCCUCCUGUCGUGAGAUGUUGGGUUAAUUCCCGCAACGAGCGCAACCCUUGUCUUUAUGUUGCCAGCAUUUUGUUGGGGACUACUGAAAGAACUGCCGGGGUAACUCCGGAGAAAGGGGGGAAGACGACCAAUUCUCUUUCCCCCUAUGUCCAGGGGUUCUCCUCAUGCUCCUAUGGUCGGUACAAACCAUGUGCGAUCCUGUGAGGGGGUGCUAAUCGCUCAAAACCCGUCUAACUCGGAAUAGGGGCCUGCACAUCCACCCCAUAAGUCCGGAGUCUCUUAUAAUCCAAGAUCACCAAUUCUGUGGGGAAUAAGUUUCCGGGGCU